Cololabis saira (Pacific saury) is the source of this 282-nucleotide long non-coding RNA. RefSeq lists it as uncharacterized. Lineage: Eukaryota; Metazoa; Chordata; Actinopteri; Beloniformes; Belonidae. The record is from RefSeq and is a predicted model, not a curated record. The transcript is spliced from 3 exons.
GAGUCUCACCUCGCAGGACCAGGCUAACCACACACAAGAAAAAAGCGGAAAAGGGAAAUUCAUCUGGAAAACAUGCUUUGACAUGUCUCAAGGAGGCUCAACAGUCCAGAAGAGAAGACAGUGAUGAUGAAGCGAUGAGGGGAUCUGAGAUGCAGCAUGACAGUGAAGACGACAGUGAGGAUGACUCUGAAUCCAGCUCUGAAUCCAGCUCUGACAGGAUAAGGAGAAAAAGGCGAAGAAAAGCAAACAUCGCUCUCGCCUGCGGGUUGGAGGACCAGGUGA